CAGGACUCUCAAAAGAACAGAGUUUCCUUCUGAGGGAAAACUAAAGUCUUUCACCCAGGAAAUGCUUGUUCCUUAGGAGUCUUUUAAUCCAAACCAUAAGCUUUUUCCUUAUCUUAACUGGUUGUUCUUUUUUACUUAAUCUUAAGUUUUGUCGGAGCAAAAUGGUCAUAUUAAGUGGACUAAAUUUAACCGUAAUGUCUGCCAAAACGACUAGCAGCUCGCGGUGCUUUGUACCCGGCUCAAAGUCACCUAUUUUCGCGUAACUAAACCACCAACUCCCGCUGAGACAACCGAGGCCUGA
Molecule: long non-coding RNA, 301 nt
Organism: Etheostoma cragini (Arkansas darter)
Lineage: Eukaryota; Metazoa; Chordata; Actinopteri; Perciformes; Percidae
Exons: 3
Source: RefSeq, a predicted model, not a curated record